GCUGCAGAGGAGGAGAAGGGAGAGACUCCCCCUGACUGCAGCCAUCUGCCAGCCACUGAGGAAACUGGCAACCUCAAGGUUGGGUUAAGUGACAGCCCCAGGGAGGAGCCCGGUCAGUCAGUGGUGGAGGAAACCAAGACUCUCGGGGAGGAGUUAGAGGACACCCCCGUGAAGGGAGGGUCACC
This is a long non-coding RNA of Gavialis gangeticus (Gharial), 185 nucleotides long. RefSeq lists it as uncharacterized. The record is from RefSeq and is a predicted model, not a curated record. Lineage: Eukaryota; Metazoa; Chordata; Crocodylia; Gavialidae. The transcript is spliced from 3 exons.